Molecule: transfer RNA, 73 nt
Filed under: uncultured archaeon
Lineage: Archaea
Description: tRNA-Gln(ttg)
Rfam family: tRNA
About the family: Transfer RNA (tRNA) molecules are approximately 80 nucleotides in length. Their secondary structure includes four short double-helical elements and three loops (D, anti-codon, and T loops).
Source: RNAcentral
AGCCCCAUAGUACAGCGGUCAAGUAUACAGCCCUUUGGAGGCUGUGACCCCGGUUCGAAUCCGGGUGGGGCUA